CCUACGGGAGGCAGCAGUGGGGAAUCUUGCGCAAUGGGCGAAAGCCUGACGCAGCAACGCCGCGUGCGGGAAGAAGGCUUUCGGGCUGUAAACCGCUUUCAGCAGGAACGAAAAUGACGGUACCUGCAGAAGAAGGAGCGGCCAACUAUGUGCCAGCAGCCGCGGUGAUACAUAGGCUUCAAGCGUUGUCCGGAUUUAUUGGGCGUAAAGAGUUCGUAGGCGGUCGAGUAAGUCGGGUGUGAAAAUUCUGGGCUCAACCCAGAGACGCCACCCGAUACUGCUUGACUUGAGUUCGAUAGGGGAGUGGGGAAUUCCUAGUGUAGCGGUGAAAUGCGCAGAUAUUAGGAGGAACACCGGUGGCGAAGGCGCCACUCUGGAUCGAUACUGACGCUGAGGAACGAAAGCAUGGGUAGCAAACAGGAUUAGAUACCCUGGUAGUCCAUGCCGUAAACGGUGGGCACUAGGUGUGGGUUUCUAUUAACGAAAUCCGCGCCGUCGCUAACGCAUUAAGUGCCCCGCCUGGGGGAGUACGGUCGCGAGACUAAACUACAAUAGAAGUUAGACGGCGUGAGACGUGCCGACGGACGACGACGAGGGAGGUAGG
Molecule: ribosomal RNA, 604 nt
Filed under: uncultured bacterium
Lineage: Bacteria
Description: bacterial SSU rRNA
Rfam family: Bacterial small subunit ribosomal RNA
Source: RNAcentral